This 499-nucleotide ribosomal RNA is filed under the name uncultured bacterium. RNAcentral describes it as "partial 16S ribosomal RNA". It matches the Rfam family "Bacterial small subunit ribosomal RNA", at positions 28 to 507 of the family's 1533-position model. The record is from RNAcentral.
GACGAACGCUGGCGGCGUGCCUAAUACAUGCAAGUCGAGCGAAGUUUUUCUGGUGCUUGCACUAGAAAAACUUAGCGGCGAACGGGUGAGUAACACGUAAAGAACCUGCCUCAUAGACUGGGACAACUAUUGGAAACGAUAGCUAAUACCGGAUAACAGUAUUUCUCGCAUGAGAGAUAUUUAAAAGUUGGUUAUGCUAACACUAUGAGAUCGCUUUGCGGUGCAUUAGCUAGUUGGUGGGGUAAAGGCCCACCAAGGCGACGAUGCAUAGCCGACCUGAGAGGGUGAUCGGCCACACUGGGACUGAGACACGGCCCAGACUCCUACGGGAGGCAGCAGUAGGGAAUCUUCCGCAAUGGGCGAAAGCCUGACGGAGCAACGCCGCGUGAGUGAAGAAGGAUUUCGGUUCGUAAAGCUCUGUUGUUAGGGAAGAAUGGAUAUGUAGUAACUAUACAUGUAAGAGACGGUACCUAACCAGAAAGCCACGGCUAACUACGUG